RNAcentral lists this ribosomal RNA (711 nucleotides) under uncultured Pseudomonadota bacterium. Its description in RNAcentral is "bacterial SSU rRNA". It matches the Rfam family "Bacterial small subunit ribosomal RNA", at positions 48 to 749 of the family's 1533-position model. Lineage: Bacteria; Pseudomonadati; Pseudomonadota. The record is from RNAcentral.
CUAACACAUGCAAGUCGAACGGUAACAGGAAGAACUUGCUUCUUUGCUGACGAGUGGCGGACGGGUGAGUAAUGUCUGGGAAACUGCCUGAUGGAGGGGGAUAACUACUGGAAACGGUAGCUAAUACCGCAUAACGUCGCAAGACCAAAGAGGGGGACCUUCGGGCCUCUUGCCAUCGGAUGUGCCCAGAUGGGAUUAGCUAGUAGGUGGGGUAACGGCUCACCUAGGCGACGAUCCCUAGCUGGUCUGAGAGGAUGACCAGCCACACUGGAACUGAGACACGGUCCAGACUCCUACGGGAGGCAGCAGUGGGGAAUAUUGCACAAUGGGCGCAAGCCUGAUGCAGCCAUGCCGCGUGUAUGAAGAAGGCCUUCGGGUUGUAAAGUACUUUCAGCGGGGAGGAAGGGAGUAAAGUUAAUACCUUUGCUCAUUGACGUUACCCGCAGAAGAAGCACCGGCUAACUCCGUGCCAGCAGCCGCGGUAAUACGGAGGGUGCAAGCGUUAAUCGGAAUUACUGGGCGUAAAGCGCACGCAGGCGGUUUGUUAAGUCAGAUGUGAAAUCCCCGGGCUCAACCUGGGAACUGCAUCUGAUACUGGCAAGCUUGAGUCUCGUAGAGGGGGGUAGAAUUCCAGGUGUAGCGGUGAAAUGCGUAGAGAUCUGGAGGAAUACCGGUGGCGAAGGCGGCCCCCUGGACGAAGACUGACGCUCA